GUGGCAUCACAUACACUAAAACUGGAAAGAUCAUCAGCAUGACCCUGUGCAAUGAUGACCCUCAAAUUAUGAAGCAUUCCACAUUUUU
This 88-nucleotide small nuclear RNA is filed under the name Nannospalax galili (Upper Galilee mountains blind mole rat). The record is from RNAcentral. Lineage: Eukaryota; Metazoa; Chordata; Mammalia; Rodentia; Spalacidae.